This 225-nucleotide long non-coding RNA is filed under the name Musa acuminata (dwarf banana). RNAcentral describes it as "long non-coding RNA (MACU_LNC003431)". Lineage: Eukaryota; Viridiplantae; Streptophyta; Magnoliopsida; Zingiberales; Musaceae. The record is from RNAcentral.
AAUACACUCAUGAAAAUAACACAUGCUUAUCAUCAUGUAUAACUUAAAAUUUCAUGCAUAAAAUUAUCAAUCAUAGUAUCAAAAUAUUUAAUAUUACAUCAUUAUGCAUUUCUUCAAGCAUGAUUUUAUUUAAUCAAAAUCGAGAAAUAACAAUGGAAAUCAACAUGAUACAUAUUAUUACUUCUUAACCACAUAUAGCAUGAUAUUAAACUUCUUAAUAUUUUC